CUCGAACAUUUUAAUAACGUAGGCGCCGGUCCGUCCAUCCAACCUUGAGCCAUGGCGAAGAGGCGGAGCGAGCGAAGCAGCGAGGCGAAGCCGCGGGAGUCGCCGUCUUCCGCAGGAAAACAGAAAUCACAUCUAGUUCAGGCUGGUGGCCUUCAGUGCUCUGAAUGAAACAAAUAAUACGGAAUCGAUAAGCUUGUCUGGGUUGCAGGACGUCUGACUCAGCGAACCUGGAAUUCCAGUUCUUCUAACUGUUUGCCAGCAAGCAUCAGAUGCUGCCGGGAAAAGAGCCUGAAGCGCUGUUGAAAAUGAUAGCUUGGAUGUUGCUGGCUCGGAAGGUUAACUUAAGGAGGAGCUGCACAAAGCCUGCGACCGUGGAAACGGGUGACAUCAUGGACGUCGACUCAGAUGGGCAAAGGCGCGUCAUGGCAAUAAUGCAUUAGAUUUAGCUGCAAAUUAAUUAAGCCUAUCUGACCUGUGUGCAUGAUUGUGAUUAGUUUGGAGGUGUCAAGCUCCCCAACCACAAGGCUUGUUUAGCUUAGCGACUCUGUUGUUCAUUUUCUGUAUGCAUACAACGCUCCAAACCGACCGUUCCUCCGUAGGUUUGUUUUGUGGAUUCAGGCUUGCAAUUGGGCGUCUGUGUUAUCAGCGCUCUAGGAUCUGACACCUGGGUCCAAUAAUGCACGAAUGAUACUUGAUAACUUAUUACUGGAUAAUGUUUGUGUAGAUUUAAGGGA
Long non-coding RNA from Brachypodium distachyon (stiff brome), 734 nucleotides. RefSeq lists it as uncharacterized. The record is from RefSeq and is a predicted model, not a curated record. The transcript is spliced from 3 exons. Lineage: Eukaryota; Viridiplantae; Streptophyta; Magnoliopsida; Poales; Poaceae.